GGGGUCGUAGCUCAGAUGGUAGAGCGCUCGCUUAGCAUGCGAGAGGUAGGGGGAUCGAUACCCUCCGACUCCA
RNAcentral lists this transfer RNA (73 nucleotides) under Tetradesmus obliquus. RNAcentral describes it as "Scenedesmus obliquus tRNA". It matches the Rfam family "tRNA". From Rfam's summary of the family: Transfer RNA (tRNA) molecules are approximately 80 nucleotides in length. Their secondary structure includes four short double-helical elements and three loops (D, anti-codon, and T loops). Further hydrogen bonds mediate the characteristic L-shaped molecular structure. tRNAs have two regions of fundamental functional importance: the anti-codon, which is responsible for specific mRNA codon recognition, and the 3' end, to which the tRNAs corresponding amino acid is attached (by aminoacyl-tRNA synthetases). tRNAs cope with the degeneracy of the genetic code in two manners: having more than one tRNA (with a specific anti-codon) for a particular amino acid; and 'wobble' base-pairing, i.e. permitting non-standard base-pairing at the 3rd anti-codon position. RNAcentral also lists the same sequence under 1 other name. Lineage: Eukaryota; Viridiplantae; Chlorophyta; Chlorophyceae; Sphaeropleales; Scenedesmaceae. The record is from Rfam by way of RNAcentral.